CUGAUCCAGCCAUGCCGCGUGAGUGAAGAAGGCCUUCGGGUUGUAAAGCUCUUUCGGCCGGGAAGAAAUCGCACUUUUAAUAGAGGGUGUGGAUGACGGUACCAGACUAAGAAGCACGGCUAACUACGUGCCAGCAGCCGCGGUAAU
This 147-nucleotide ribosomal RNA is filed under the name uncultured bacterium. RNAcentral describes it as "partial 16S ribosomal RNA". It matches the Rfam family "Bacterial small subunit ribosomal RNA", at positions 383 to 524 of the family's 1533-position model. The record is from RNAcentral.